RNAcentral lists this ribosomal RNA (57 nucleotides) under Streptomyces sp. NRRL F-4711. Lineage: Bacteria; Bacillati; Actinomycetota; Actinomycetes; Kitasatosporales; Streptomycetaceae. RNAcentral also lists the same sequence under 2 other names. The record is from RNAcentral.
GCGUAGGGGAAACGCCCGGUUACAUUCCGAACCCGGAAGCUAAGCCUUACAGCGCCG